GAUGAACGCUAGCGGCAGGCCUCACACAUCCAAGUCGAGGGGUAGCAGGAUUAAGCUUGCUUAAUUGCUGACGACCGGCGCACGGGUGCGUAACACGUAUGCAACCUACCUUAUACUGGGGAAUAACUUCGAGAAAUCGGCGCUAAUACCCCAUAACAUUGCGAAGUGUCAUCUCUUUGCAAUCAACGCUCCGGCGGUAUAAGCUGGGCAUGCGUCCAAUUAGCUAGUUGGUGAGGUAACGGCUCACCAAGGCUACGAUUGCUAGGGGUUCUGAGAGGAUGAUCCCCCACACUGGUACUGAGACACGGACCAGACUCCUACGGGAGGCAGCAGUGAGGAAUAUUGCGCAAUGGACGAAAGUCUGACGCAGCCAUGCCGCGUGCAGGAUGACGGCCCUAUGGGUUGUAAACUGCUUUUGUACGGGAAUAAACCCUUCUACGUGUAGGAGGCUGAAGGUACCGUAAGAAUAAGCACCGGCUAACUCCGUGCCAGCCGCCGCGGUAA
RNAcentral lists this ribosomal RNA (504 nucleotides) under uncultured bacterium. RNAcentral's name for it is "partial 16S ribosomal RNA". It matches the Rfam family "Bacterial small subunit ribosomal RNA", at positions 28 to 523 of the family's 1533-position model. The record is from RNAcentral.